Molecule: long non-coding RNA, 413 nt
Organism: Leptinotarsa decemlineata (Colorado potato beetle)
Lineage: Eukaryota; Metazoa; Arthropoda; Insecta; Coleoptera; Chrysomelidae
Source: RefSeq, a predicted model, not a curated record
AAAGAUGUCACUGAAACUGUAUUUCUGGCAUAUUUUCAAGAACUGUCAGAAACGUAUAGUCGGAAUUCUUUAUGGACUAAAUGGUCAAUGCUAAAAUCGAUGGUGACUAUACAUGAGAAACGAGAUAUCACCAAGUUCAAUGAACUACAGGCUUUUUUGAAACGGAAGAGUAAGAGUUAUAAGCCGAAAAAGUCUGCUGUUUUAUCUCCUAAAGAUGUUAUCAUAUUCCUAAAGGACGCUCCUAAUGAUAUUCAUUUAUAGCAUAAGGUAAUUUUUUUCUUAUUUUCCUUUUUGUGUGUAUUUAUUUCCUUUUUUUUGUUAUAGGUUGUUUUGAUUAUGGGUUAUUUUGGAGGAUGCAGAAGUCAGGAACUUUUGAAUAUGAAGAUAUCGGAUAUAGAGGACCGGGAUUCCGU